Molecule: ribosomal RNA, 839 nt
Filed under: Pezoloma ciliiferum
Lineage: Eukaryota; Fungi; Ascomycota; Leotiomycetes; Helotiales; Discinellaceae
Description: LSU rRNA
Rfam family: Eukaryotic large subunit ribosomal RNA
Source: RNAcentral
UACCUCAGUAACGGCGAGUGAAGCGGUAACAGCUCAAAUUUGAAAUCUCCCUUCCGGGCGAGUUGUAAUUUGUAGAAGAUGCUUUGGGUAUGGCCCCGGUCUAAGUCCGUUGGAACACGGUAUCAUAGAGGGUGAGAAUCCCGUAUGUGACUGGGUGCUUUUGCCUAUGUAAAGCUCUUUCGACGAGUCGAGUUGUUUGGGAAUGCAGCUCAAAAUGGGUGGUAUAUUUCAUCUAAAGCUAAAUAUUGGCCAGAGACCGAUAGCGCACAAGUAGAGUGAUCGAAAGAUGAAAAGCACUUUGGAAAGAGAGUUAAACAGUACGUGAAAUUGUUGAAAGGGAAGCGCUUGCAACCAGACUUGCACGCGGUUGAUCAUCCAGGCUUCUGUUUGGUGCACUCGACCGUGUUCAGGCCAGCAUCGGUUUUGGUGGUUGGAUAAAGGCCUUGGGAAUGUAGCUUCUUUCGGGGAGUGUUAUAGCCCUCGGUGCAAUGCAGCCUACCGGGACCGAGGACCGCGCUUCGGCUAGGAUGCUGGCGUAAUGGUUGUAAGCGACCCGUCUUGAAACACGGACCAAGGAGUCUAACAUCUAUGCGAGUGUUUGGGUGUCAAACCCAUACGCGUAAUUAACGUGAACGGAGGUAAGAACCCUUAAGGGUGCAUUAUCGACCGAUCCUGAUGUCUUCGGAUGGAUUUGAGUAAGAGCAUAGCUGUUGGGACCCGAAAGAUGGUGAACUAUGCCUGAAUAGGGUGAAGCCAGAGGAAACUCUGGUGGAGGCUCGCAGCGGUUCUGACGUGCAAAUCGAUCGUCAAAUUUGGGUAUAGGGGCGAAAGACUAAUCG